GUAACCUGCCUGGUAGCGGGGGAUAACUAUUGGAAACGAUAGCUAAUACCGCAUAACAGUAGAUAUCGCAUGAUAGCUGCUUGAAAGGUGCAAAUGCACCACUACCAGAUGGACCUGCGUUGUAUUAGCUAGUUGGUGAGGUAACGGCUCACCAAGGCAACGAUACAUAGCCGACCUGAGGGGGUGAUCGGCCACACUGGGACUGAGACACGGCCCAGACUCCUACGGGAGGCAGCAGUAGGGAAUCUUCGGCAAUGGACGGAAGUCUGACCGAGCAACGCCGCGUGAGUGAAGAAGGUUUUCGGAUCGUAAAGCUCUGUUGUAAGAGAAGAACGAGUGUGAGAGUGGAAAGUUCACACUGUGACGGUAUCUUACCAGAAAGGGACGGCUAACUACGUGCCAGCAGCCGCGGUAAUACGUAGGUCCCGAGCGUUGUCCGGAUUUAUUGGGCGUAAACCGAGCGCAGGCGGUUAGAUAAGUCUGAAGUUAAAGGCUGUGGCUUAACCAUAGUACGCUUUGGAAACUGUUUAACUUGAUUGCAAGAGGGGAGAGUGGAAUUCCAUGUGUAGCGGUGAAAUGCGUAGAUAUAUG
This 591-nucleotide ribosomal RNA is filed under the name uncultured Bacilli bacterium. RNAcentral's name for it is "bacterial SSU rRNA". It matches the Rfam family "Bacterial small subunit ribosomal RNA", at positions 121 to 700 of the family's 1533-position model. The record is from RNAcentral. Lineage: Bacteria; Bacillati; Bacillota; Bacilli.